Molecule: ribosomal RNA, 301 nt
Filed under: uncultured bacterium
Lineage: Bacteria
Description: partial 16S ribosomal RNA
Rfam family: Bacterial small subunit ribosomal RNA
Source: RNAcentral
CAGCCGCCGCGGGAAUACGUAGGGUGCAAGCGUUAAUCGGAAUUACUGGGCGUAAAGCGUGCGCAGGCGGUUAUAUAAGACAGAUGUGAAAUCCCCGGGCUCAACCUGGGAACUGCAUUUGUGACUGUAUAGCUAGAGUACGGCAGAGUGGGAUGGAAUUCCGCGUGUAGCAGUGAAAUGCGUAGAUAUGCGGAGGAACACCGAUGGCGAAGGCAAUCCCCUGGGCCUGUACUGACGCUCAUGCACGAAAGCGUGGGGAGCAAACAGGAUUAGAUACCCCCGUAGUCCCUGUCUCUUAUAA